Pezoporus occidentalis (night parrot) is the source of this 555-nucleotide long non-coding RNA. RefSeq lists it as uncharacterized. The transcript is spliced from 2 exons. The record is from RefSeq and is a predicted model, not a curated record. Lineage: Eukaryota; Metazoa; Chordata; Aves; Psittaciformes; Psittacidae.
CUGGAUGUACAGUGCUGCCGUGUUGGCCAUCUGAAUGCUGUUCUUAUCUAUUCUGUCCUUCGACAGUGAAGAGAAUGAUAAACCAUAGUAACCUUCCACCUUCUGUGGGAGGAUUAAAGAGCAUCUGUAGUGCUAAGGCCCUGCUUCCCAGCUGUGAUCAACCUGAAAAUCACAUUGUCUAUCUGAGGGAGAUUGUUUUUUUCCUGUUUACAGUCUGAUUCACCCCAAAGCUGCUGAAAUGCAUGACCAUGCACACAGGAUAAAACAUCUAGGAAUUUUACAUAUUCUAAUGAUAAGAAGACUAAUAUGCUACUUCCAGUUCUGGACUGCAGUCUGUUAAACAAGAGUUAAGUGUAACCAGAAUGAAAAUUGGUAUUUUCAGGAAGUUUUACUCUCACUUAUAAUGUACCUUGGGAUCCAACUUGCCAGUCAUCUUCUUCAGUAGUUCAUAAAGCUGGAUAGCAUUACCUUGGGAAUACCAGCCGGGGUUGUCCAGUGAUAGCAGAGCCUCCUGCUCCUCGUCAUUCUCUGAAAUCGCCAAACAAAACCGCUCAC